AUAUAUAUAUAUAUAUAUAUAUAUAUAUAUAUAUAUUUCCUAAUGAGAGAAGUGUCGUCGGAGAGGUCAUGCAAACCUUUAUAAAACUUUUGAGAGUUUCAGCAGCUGUUGAGAGAAAAGGAAGUCUCUGCCAAGGAGGCAGAAAAAUGUGUGAAUAAUCUAAUCCAACCCCAAACUCCACGGCUGCCUCUUUUAAAUGGGGAAAUGUUUCUGGACGUGAACCCGGACGCGCUGGUUCUCCCGCAACAAUCGCCUCUCUUCAGGUGGGAAAGGGAAGGAUUAAACAGGAUAAGUGAGAAGCGCGUUUUGCAAUCCAAAGCUCUGAUUGUGGAGCCGUGAAACUACUACAUGGUUUUGAUUUAGAGAUCAAGAUUUCUCCUUUUCAUGGGAAAUAACGCAACGUGUUUUUUCUUUUCUUUUCUUUAUAAAUUGGGCAUAACCCGCUUUGCUUCCAGACUAAACCCCACUGGCUCCCCAACCAAUGACACAGCAAAUUGUAUUCAUUGCAUUGCACAAGCAACCCCUAAAUUCAGGAGCUCAAGUCUGCUCCUCCAACCGCCUGAAGCCAACGAUCAUCCGUUUGCCCUCGUAGUUGUCCGAAGCUUUAAGGCAUUGCUUCACCCGUUCUCCUAGUCGCUCUCUUUCCUUCUGCGAGGUUUCAUCCACCUCCUCCUUUUCGGAUGGGCAACCUUCUUAACCGAGGGAACUAAAGCCCCGUUUGGGAGGCAGCUCAGCUCGCAGCCACGUUUGUACGUAGCGGCAGAGGCGGAGAGAGCGCAGCGAUGCGGCUUCUCGAAAGGCGUGAAAGAAAAACGGAGAGCAGAUGUCUUCCAGGCAGCGGGGGGUCCGUCUCAUCCCUCCCCAUCCAGAUGACUUACUACCCCCUCACCGGGUCUGUGUCCGCUACAAAGAAAGACAAGGACAGAAGAGCUGUUUGGAGGUCAGACGGGCCUAUAUAUUUGAAUUUGGUUGUUUUUAGUUUCCCUUUACAUCCAUCUAAGGAAACUUAAGGAGACUUACCUCUGUUCCUUUGUCAUCGCCUACGUCCUAUCUUCCGUCACCUUUGUCCCUGUACCGCCAUUACCUGCGUCCCGUCUUUGUUCGUUGUUUCUUCGUUAUCGGCCAGUCGUUGCCGAGGUCCGUCGAAACGUUCUGUCAUCAUCACCUCGGUCCCGUCAUCAGAUGAAGGUUCCGUCGUUGCCUUCUACGUCCUGGCCGUUGCCGCCGACGUCCUCAUCGCAGGGGAAAUACGAGGCUUACGAAUUUUACAAAACAUGACAUGUACCAUCAUGCUGCUGGUGAAUGAACAACGUUUGAAGCCCUUUUAAGCAAUAAGUCGUGCAGUAGAUGUCUGCAUGUUGGCGCGUGACAGGAGAAUCAAAAGCACAUUGGUUGCGUUACCAUUUUACCUGAUAGCAUUUGAUGCUAAGCUCCAAUGUGUGGUUCCUUCCAUUGCGACAGAACCGUUCUGGCCCUUCCAGCCGCCGGUCGGGCCGAGCCGUUGGGAGUAAAGACGGCCGGCGGGUAAUAAAUCGCCCGCUUCACACGCGUCUGUCGGCUCUGCCGAACCAUCGCGACGCCCUCGCUGCGUGCCGACCACAUUACAGGCCCAUCCACACAUGGCGGAGGGGUUUCAGAGCCGCGGUAACCGGCGGUGGGUGGUAAUUGGUCUGGCGUCACCAAGCGGGCGCGUUUGUAUGCGUGUAGGAUUUGUGUGUGUGUGUGUGUGUGUGUAGUGCGUCUCCACAGAGUCUCGUGCUCUCUGGUCUGUCUAAGCUGCUGACAGUUCACCAUUAGACACGUCAUUACCGUCAAGCAGAAGCAAAACCUUCCAGCACCCGCCUCCUACCCCCCCCUCUCUCCCUCUCUCUCUCUCUCCUUCUCCCUCCCUCACGAGUAGACAUCUUUAUUGGGAUUGUAAUCCGACAAUCAUGUUCUCGGGAUCUCCGUCAACAUGCACAUAUCUUCCAUCCCAGCUGCUGUGUACGCGUUGAAAUAAGGAUCAUGUUGAAUUAACUAGCUGUAUAUUUUGUGAGCAGAAUCUUAUUUUGUAGAGUAAAUAAAGCUGUUUUGUGCACAACAGAACAUACGAUGUCGACCUAACUACAGUAUUUGAGUACAUGUACUUAGCAAUAUAAAGCAAUAUAACGUUGAAAUCAAGUGCAGGAAUACUUUCAUUAGCUUCUUUCUACCACAAAGAACAACGCUCUUAGAGCGUUGAGGUUUAUAACCUUUGCCUAAUUUAAUCACACAAGCUUUUAAUGUGUUUAAGAUAUUUUUGCCAUUUUGUCGAUUUUAUUUAUUCUGUCUUGCUACAACAGCAAUAAACAACUUGUUUUCUUUGUGAGGUUUUACUGACAAUAAUUUCUGUGUGCCGUUAUUGAACUACUGUAACUAUUUUUAAACUACCCCAUUACAUGUAGGUUCAUAUACUUUCGUAGUAUAGCGUUUACUCACAUGUCGUUUUCCUGAAUGGUAUACUAUAUAUAGUAUAUAAAGUCACUAAAAUGAGUCAUUCCUCGUAAUGAGUACUUUCACUUGGGUGUGGUAAACAUCCUGUAUUUUGAUAUUUCUGUGAGUCGAGACGAGGACACACACAUUAGCUUAGCACAAGAUUAGCUAGCUAGAUUGUUUUCACAGUACAUUUAAAAUGUUAUUAUAAGACAAAAGUCCCCAUGGCACAGACAUGUAAUUCCCUCAGAGGGGCCAGACACACACUUUAGUGGGUUCAGCCCCUUUUCAUAGUUAUUUUGUGUGUCUUUGUGACUUUUAUGUGGUUAUUUUUUGCAUGUUUCCCCCCUUGUGGUCGUUUUGCGACUCUUUGUAGUCGUCCCGCUGCGCUCCCACUUUCUAAAUUGGGUCGCUAAAAUUGAAAAGUGUUUACCAGUGCAACUUUUUUUACUUUUCACAGUCUCCUCGCUGGCUUGCAGGUGAACUGAGUGCGACUGUUAUCGGGAUAAUUAUCAGAUGUGCUCUUCCUCUCCGCCUCACUUCUCCUCCUGCAGGAAAACAGGAAGGCAGGAUUAGAGCGACGCGCUGCGCUGAGAUCCGGAGAGGCCCGGUGAGUCCCAGGAUGGAAUGCGCACACACACACACACACACACGCGCGCGCACUCACACGCACUCACACACACUCACAUACACCAAUACACAUACUCUGAAUAGCUCGCACACAUUCCCACUAAAUCUAUUAGGUGAUCAUGAGCAAACAACUAGCACAAACAGCUCGGGGGAAACUUGGACCUGGAAUUGAGGAUCUAAUAAAAAAAUCACGGGGCGAGGAGGACGAGGAGAGAGCCAAGAAACAAUGAGGGGCCUCAGACUGCAGCCACAGCAACGUUUACGACUCUCGUUAUGACGAAGAGGUGCUCAUUAUGGCCUUUUAUGGUCUCCUGGGACUCACAUUUUAGUGGAAAUGCGAGUAUGCAAAACAAAGAGAUAAAAACCAACACAUGUGUAUGUAUAUAUAUAUAUAAAUAUGGAUAUAUAUGGAUAUAGAUAUGUAUACCUAUAUGUAUAUACAUGUAUCUCUAUAUUUAAAAAUAUAUAUAUAUAUAUAUUAUGAAAUGAUGGCUGCAGUUGGCUGAGAAAACCUGCAAAAGUUAUCUUGAACAGAUAUCUGUGACCUUGAGAAGCAGUAAUUGAGCGGAAAGGGGAUGUAAAACAUCCGCUGGUGGGGUUUACUAUGACUGUGCACACACACACACACACACACACACACACACACACACACACACACACACACACACACACAGCAGCAGUAGCAGCAGUGUCGGUCCCAGGCUGGCCUCCCUCUGGCAUUAUCUCAUAGCCUGAGCACUCCCGCUACCUCUGAGGCCGGCCAGCUCCGCACACAGAAGCAUUACGUGCAUCUGCCUCGCAUUAAUCGGCAAAUUAUGGAAAAACUGCGCGUCAAAUGACAUUGCUGAGGGUGGUGGGACCAACUCACAAUGGACACUAAUGCAACCACACACAAUAAAGGCUCCAGCGUACCUUCUUCUUCAAUGCAGAGAGAGCCCUGUUUGUUAUAUUUUAUUCUUUUUAAUCUUUUUAUAGCAUGUUUUCAUAUUUAUAUUUCUUGUUAUUUCUCUGCGGUCAGACAGUCGAGCAUAAUAUCUUAAGUUUGCUAAUUUCUGUACUCAUAUUUAUCCUACACAUUCGAUAGAUAAGCAGCCCGUAAAUAGGUCAGAAGGGCCCCACUUUAGUCUGCCACCUACUAUGCUGGGGGCCCCCUCCGCGACGCUUGUUGCCCAUUGUUACCAUUCAAAGCUACAACCAGCACCAACCACGAGGCAAAUAAUACAUUCACAUGACCUCAUACCAGUGCAGGUGGUUUCUGUGUCCCUUCUCUUUAGCUACUGCAGAGCGAAGCUUUAGAUUAAUGAACGCUGACGAUGACGGAUUGGUUCAUUUCUGCACGACGAACCGAGCCACAGAAACCCGAACGGAUCCGACCCAACCAGAGCCAAUCGCUGGCGGAGUCGUCUUUCUUUAUGGAUAGGAAAAACGAAAAAAAGUCAGGCAGCAUGUGAGAAUUGUUUUUUUUUUUUUUUAAGAGACUCGUGCUUCCCGACCUGAUCAACUUCGUGCAACAUUUACACGAAUGUGUCUUUAUUUGGCCCGUUAGCAGGACUCAUAUCAGCUUUGCAGAAACCAGCUGCCGGAACAAACAACCAGCGUCACCGACUGGCCGCUGAAUGUUCCCCGUGGUCAGACGCCUCCCCCCCCCCUUCCUUCCUUCCUCGGAUAGUUGCGGAAUAAAUCACCUUCCUUCAUUCAUUGUGUUUCUUCAGCACGUGGGCUUUUCGCAGUGAAUCACCCUCUGACUCCUGUUUGGCUUUGGAACUGUCAUUUUGUUGUUAAAUGCUCCAGAUCUCACAGACGGACCCGAAUGUGCUGCCGAAUCACUGCUUUUCAGAUUUGGUAGAUGGCUAAAGAGCGAACGAGCUAACGUUGGGCAUUAAUAAACCAAGCGGUAUCAUUUUAGAACUUUUAACCACCUUUUUAAAUGUAAGGGAUUUGAAAUUAGCGAGUGGGGUACUGACUGACAUGUUGUUUGCUGUAGAACAAUCUGUCAAGCACCCACCUUAUUUCGGGCAUCUAGCAAGUAUCGACUUUGAGACGAGGGAACCGGAAGUUCAAAAAUGCAGACUUUUCUUCCCUCAUUCAAGGACCAACGUUUCUAUUGUACUGCCAUCCACAGGCUACGUGUACAUUAGUGUUAGGAGACCACACACAUUGUAUGUGAUUGGAUCUUGUAUUGCGGCGGGAGGACCGAUAUCUAACAAUACGUUAGUACAAAACGUAAUGUUCUUCCUGAUGUCAGUCAGCUGUUCUUCCGGCCUGCAGGCCGACAGAACUGCUCCCGCCUGAACGAGACCAACCGGGCUUGGGGGCCUCGGCCUCGACCUCCGCAAACUCAUUUGCUCGCCAGCCACACGGCGAUCCUCGGCCGUUUCCUGCCGAACCAUGAAGGCCAUUUAAUUUGCCUCAUGGAGGCCAAACGUGGAAUGUGUGCAAUGUGGGAGUUUGUGUGUGUAUUUCAUGGCACCCCCAGACGCACAAUGUACCCGAGCAGCAGUAAUAACAGACAGCGAGGCGGACGGACGGACGUGGAGACACGCGGCGGGAGAGCAGCCGCGCCGACAUUCAGUCCCACUUUUCUUGAUGCUGUUUUGCUGGCGGGGAAAUCCCUAAUUAGUAAAGUUGUUUAAAGGAGUCGUUCAAGCAAGAGCGAUGUUAUGUCAUUAUACUCCCUACGGUCCCAGAAAGACCUUUAAAAGAGAGCAGAGGACCCGUAACACAAAGUACGAGUACAUAUACAAGUUAAACUACAUAUACAAGUAUAUGCAUGCAAGUACAAGUCCGCCCGUCAACAUCUUGCGUGGCUGCAGAUGACGAACCUUUUGUUGCCUUGUGAGACUUCUUGUUUCGUCCACUUUCCUUCACAGAAAUAUAAACAAAUACAGUGUUGUCACAAAUAUCUGUUACCAUAAGUUAACUGUUAAUAAUCCUUGAAUAAAGAAAAAAUUAAAUUAAAAUCGUUUAAAACGGUUUUCUUUGGUUGGACUGGUCUGGACCACCCACAUUUUGUGCAAGAAGUGGUUUUAAAUCGCCAGUUAUCACAAAAAUGUAACUUUCACACACACGCACGCACACAGACACACACACACACACACACCAUCUUUCACCGGGUGGUGCAAGCGGAUUCCCACACGGACACAGCCCCCUUUCAGCCACGCAGAAGGAAUCUGUCGGGAGCGUGAAAGCGGCGGUGUGAGGUUUAACGUCGGAAGAAGAAGAUUACUCAGGGGGAAAGAAUUACACGAGGGCUCGCACAGUGUGCGUCAGGUGUGUGUGUGUGUGUGUGUGUGUGUGUGUGUGUGUGUGUGUGUGUGUGUGUGUGUGUGUGUGUGUGUGUGUGCGCGUGUGUGUGUGUAUUUGUGCACUUUCACAUGGGGUUGUAACCCGACCGCCCGGCCACCUGCAGCAGACGGCUGAGAAACCCCAAAGAAAGGUUGCACACGCACUUUCUCUCUAUGCGUGUGUGUGUGUGUGUGUGUGUGUGUGUGUGUGUGUGUGUGCGCGUUACUGAUGUUUCUACCAGAGACAUGGACAGAAUGUACAGCGGUUGGACAAAAUAAUGUAAACACCUCAUGGGAAAAGACUGCACUUCAGAUGCAUUCACUGAAGUACAAAAGUCAGUUAUGAGCUGCUCUUUGCUUUUUUCCCCCAAUAAUAACUAUUUUAUCAGAUACAAAUAACAGCAAAUGUAAAAUUUACAUUUGAAACAGUUUGUGCGCCAAAAGCAGAAGAACGAGAUGAUUUAUCUUCCAUUCGAUGCUGACAUUUUGCUUUAUGACUGGAAUAGACUGUGGGACUUUAAUCCUUUCCCCUCUGCAGUUUACUCAGCGGUUUGAUUGAACAACUCUUUCAGAUGACAUUCUGAAAUAACCUUCUUAAAACUAAACCAACCUUCUGUUUUGAAGAGGAGGUUUGUGCACUUGACCCUGAAACAGGAAGUCGUCAUAGCUCUAAACAUGUUUACAUUCAUUCAGUUACUUCAGUAAAACUAUGUGUGAAUAAUCAGGAAAAUGUUAAUUUUGAACAAUGUUAUUUUCAUUGAUUAUUAUUGGCUCAAUUCAUUCUUUUGUGCACAAAACAUUUGAAAUAAUCCCAGUUUCUAAAGGCCCAAAAGGACAGAUGAUUUAUUUUUACCGGCCGACUGUCUACGAUCAGAAGAACGAGUGAAAAGUUAUUUUGCCUUUUCUUUUUGGUGGGACGGAGUUUACGACUUUUUGGAAUGCGGUGGACAUUCCUCACAUUCCUGUCACGUAACAAAUAAAUAGAGCAAAAUAUUUGAAGAAUCCCCAAAGCUCAUUUCAGCUCAGCGCAUGACUGCAGUGACCUCGUUAUUAUUUAAAUCUUUCUCACAAAUAACACUUUGGCCACUCAGCGAUCCCAAGCGAUUUAAAAAAAAUGCUCCUAGAAAUGAACACACACACACACACACACACACACACACACACACACACACACACACACACACACACACACUCCCCGUCGUCAGGGGUUGCAUGUUGCUGUUUCCCACCUGGCCUCCUGUCGGUAACAGAGUGGCUUGCUGACUGACGGGCCGACGGGAAAUGAGCCUGGUGCAUGCUGGGGGAUGAGCCGAUGACAGCUUGAGUCAUGGCGGUUGUCAGGGCCCAACGCCGUCAGCGCAACGAGUUGGUUAGCUGAGGAAACG
This is a long non-coding RNA of Gasterosteus aculeatus aculeatus (three-spined stickleback), 7750 nucleotides long. NCBI's taxonomy places the organism in Eukaryota, Metazoa, Chordata, Actinopteri, Perciformes, Gasterosteidae. The record is from Ensembl.